GACGAACGCUGGCGGCGGGCUUAACACAUGCAAGUCGAACGGAAAGGCCCUGCUUUUGUGGGGUGCUCGAGUGGCGAACGGGUGAGUAACACGUGAGUAACCUACCCUUGGCUUGGGGAUAACUUCAGGAAACUGGGGCUAAUACCGGAUAGUAGCGCCGGCUGCAUGGUGGGGGGGGGAAAGGUUCGGCGGUUGGGGAUGGACGCGCGGCUUAUCAGCUUGUUGGGGGGGGAGUGGCUUACCAAGGCUUUGACGGGUAGCCGGCCUGAGAGGGUGACCGGCCACAUUGGGACUGCGAUACGGACCAGACUCCUACGGGAGGCAGCAGUGGGGAAUAUUGCACAAUGGGCGGAAGCCUGAUGCAGCAACGCCGCGUGCGGGAUGACGGCCUUCGGGUUGUAAACCGCUUUCGCCUGUGACGAAGCGUGAGUGACGGUAAUGGGUAAAGAAGCACCGGCUAACUACGUG
This 468-nucleotide ribosomal RNA is filed under the name uncultured bacterium. RNAcentral's name for it is "partial 16S ribosomal RNA". It matches the Rfam family "Bacterial small subunit ribosomal RNA", at positions 28 to 507 of the family's 1533-position model. The record is from RNAcentral.